This 357-nucleotide ribosomal RNA is filed under the name Craterostigmus tasmanianus. RNAcentral's name for it is "eukaryotic LSU rRNA". It matches the Rfam family "Eukaryotic large subunit ribosomal RNA", at positions 652 to 953 of the family's 3401-position model. The record is from RNAcentral. Lineage: Eukaryota; Metazoa; Arthropoda; Chilopoda; Craterostigmomorpha; Craterostigmidae.
UCUUGAAACACGGACCAAGGAGUCUAACAUGUGCGCGAGUCGUAGGGUUACGCUCAAAGCCCGAAGGCGCAAUGAAAGUGAAGGUCGGCCUCGAUUGCCGUUACCUAGGCGGGAUCCGUUCGGGCUUACCGGUCGUUCGCGGCUGAGCCCGGCGGCGCACCGCCGGCCCGUCUCGACCGCAUCGCCGGUGAGGCGGAGCGAGAGCGUACACGUUGGGACCCGAAAGAUGGUGAACUAUGCCCGGGCAGGACGAAGCCAGAGGAAACUCUGGUGGAGGUCCGUAGCGAUUCUGACGUGCAAAUCGAUCGUCGGACCUGGGUAUAGGGGCGAAAGACUAAUCGAACCAUCUAGUAGCUG